GGGGAUUUGGCUCAGUGGUAGAGCGCUUGCCUAGGAAGCGCAAGGUCCUGGGUUCGGUCCCCAGCCCCCA
Molecule: non-coding RNA, 70 nt
Organism: Rattus norvegicus (Norway rat)
Lineage: Eukaryota; Metazoa; Chordata; Mammalia; Rodentia; Muridae
Source: Rfam